This is a microRNA precursor of Cyprinus carpio carpio, 93 nucleotides long. NCBI's taxonomy places the organism in Eukaryota, Metazoa, Chordata, Actinopteri, Cypriniformes, Cyprinidae. The record is from Ensembl.
GGUGUGUGUGCUGCAGCUGGUGUUGUGAAUCAGGCCGAUGUCACACGUCCGCGAUAACCCGGCUAUUUCACAACACCAGGGUGGCACCACACC